RNAcentral lists this ribosomal RNA (1104 nucleotides) under human gut metagenome. RNAcentral describes it as "bacterial LSU rRNA". It matches the Rfam family "Bacterial large subunit ribosomal RNA", at positions 1326 to 2437 of the family's 2925-position model. The record is from RNAcentral.
AAACCCCCUCGCCGAAAGACUAAGGUUUCCUGAUCAACGCUAAUCGGAUCAGGGUAAGUCGGGUCCUAAGGCUCAGCCGAACGGCGAGGCCGAUGGCAGAACCGGUUAAUAUUCCGGUACUAUCUUAAGGAGUGACGUGGAGACGGAGUCGUGACAGCGCCGCGGACUGACGGAAUAGUCCGUUGAAGGGUGUAGAUGUUGAUUGUUCCAGGCAAAUCCGGAAUGAGAGUCGAACCUGACAGUAUGGAGCGUCCUUCUGGACAAUCCAAUAGUGCGUGUAAUCAUACUUCCAAGAAAAUCCGCUAAACUUAAUCCUUACGGUACCCGUACCGCAAACGGACACACGUAGUCGGGUUGAAUAUACUAAGGCGCUUGAGUGAUUCACGGUUAAGGAACUAGGCAAACUGACCCUGUAACUUCGGGAUAAAGGGUCCCUACCCUUUUAUGGGAGGGCGCAGAGAAUCGGUCCAGGCAACUGUUUAACAAAAACACAGGGCUGUGCCAAAUCGAAAGAUCCAGUAUACAGCCUGACACCUGCCCGGUGCUGGAAGGUUAAGAGGAGAUGUCAUCGAUAAGAGAAGCGUUGAAUUGAAGCCCCAGUAAACGGCGGCCGUAACUAUAACGGUCCUAAGGUAGCGAAAUUCCUUGUCGGGUAAGUUCCGACCUGCACGAAUGGUGUAAUGAUCUGGACGCUGUCUCAACCGUGAGCUCAGUGAAAUUGUAGUAUCGGUGAAGAUGCCGAUUACCCGCGAUGGGACGAAAAGACCCCGUGAACCUUUACUAUAGCUUAUCAUUGAAUCUGGGCACGUGAUGUGUAGGAUAGGUCGGAGGCUUUGAAGCAGGUACGCCAGUAUUUGUGGAGCCGCUGUUGAAAUACGACCCUUUAUUUGUUUGGAUUCUAACCCGUGGAUACGGGGACAUUGAUUGGUGGGUAGUUUGACUGGGGUGGUCGCCUCCAAAAGCGUAACGGAGGCUUCUAAAGGUGCCCUCCGGCCGAUUGGUAACCGGCCUUAGAGUGUAAUGGCAUAAGGGCGCUUGACUGGGAGACUGACAAGUCGAUCAGGUAGGAAACUAGAGCAUAGUGAUCCGGUGUUUCCGUAUGGA